This 456-nucleotide ribosomal RNA is filed under the name Staphylococcus ureilyticus. Its description in RNAcentral is "bacterial SSU rRNA". It matches the Rfam family "Bacterial small subunit ribosomal RNA", at positions 35 to 474 of the family's 1533-position model. The record is from RNAcentral. Lineage: Bacteria; Bacillati; Bacillota; Bacilli; Caryophanales; Staphylococcaceae.
GCUGGCGGCGUGCCUAAUACAUGCAAGUCGAGCGAACAGAUAAGGAGCUUGCUCCUUUGACGUUAGCGGCGGACGGGUGAGUAACACGUGGGUAACCUACCUAUAAGACUGGAAUAACUCCGGGAAACCGGGGCUAAUGCCGGAUAACAUUUAGAACCGCAUGGUUCUAAAGUGAAAGAUGGUUUUGCUAUCACUUAUAGAUGGACCCGCGCCGUAUUAGCUAGUUGGUAAGGUAACGGCUUACCAAGGCAACGAUACGUAGCCGACCUGAGAGGGUGAUCGGCCACACUGGAACUGAGACACGGUCCAGACUCCUACGGGAGGCAGCAGUAGGGAAUCUUCCGCAAUGGGCGAAAGCCUGACGGAGCAACGCCGCGUGAGUGAUGAAGGUCUUCGGAUCGUAAAACUCUGUUAUUAGGGAAGAACAAAUGUGUAAGUAACUGUGCACGUCUGACG